UGCAGUCGUGCGCGAAAGUCUUCGGACGAGUAAAGCGGCGAAAGGGUGAGUAACACGUAACCAACGUACCCCUAAGACCGGGAUAACCACUGGAAACGGUGGGUAAAACCGGAUGGCCCUCGGAAGGGCAUCCUUCCGCAGGUAAACGGUGGCUUCGGCUGCUGCUGAGGGAGCGGGUUGCGGCCUAUCAGCUUGUUGGUGGGGUAACGGCCUACCAAGGCGAUGACGGGUAGCGGGUCUGAGAGGAUGAUCCGUCACACUGGGACUGAGACACUGCCCAGACUCCUACGGGAGGCUGCAGUCGAGAAUCUUCCACAAUGGGCGAAAGCCUGAUGGAGCGACGCUGCGUGCAGGAUGAAGGCCUUAGGGUUGUAAACUGCUGUCACGCUAUAGGAAACCAUAGGGGUUAAUAGCCUCUGUGCUGACCAAAGCGAGAGGAAGUGCCGGCUAACUCCGUGCCAGCAGCCGCGGUAAGACGGAGGGCGCAAGCGUUGUUCGGAAUCACUGGGCAUAAAGAGCACGUAGGCUGCCAGCUCAGUCUGGUGUGAAAGCCCCCGGCCCAACCGGGGAACUGCACCAGAUACUGGCUGGCUAGAGGACAGGAGGGGUGAGUGGAACUCCAGGUGGAACGGUGAAAUGUGUAGAUAUCUGGAGGAACACCGGUGGCGAAAGCGGCUCACUGGCCUGUCUCUGACGCUGAGGUGCGAAAGCUAGGGGAGCGAACGGGAUUAGAUACCCCGGUAGUCCUAGCCGUAAACGAUGGGCACUAGGCAGCGGGCCUUCCUAUGGGGCUCACUGCUGUAGCUAAUGUGUUAAGUGCCC
This 822-nucleotide ribosomal RNA is filed under the name uncultured bacterium. RNAcentral describes it as "bacterial SSU rRNA". It matches the Rfam family "Bacterial small subunit ribosomal RNA", at positions 56 to 869 of the family's 1533-position model. The record is from RNAcentral.